This is a long non-coding RNA of Stylophora pistillata, 1412 nucleotides long. Lineage: Eukaryota; Metazoa; Cnidaria; Anthozoa; Scleractinia; Pocilloporidae. The record is from RefSeq and is a predicted model, not a curated record.
AGUGCUCGAAGUGAAAUGUUUAUGCGGUUGUCGGUUGGAAUCUUAUUGCAGUUUGACGAGGAGUUUCGCUUUAUUUAAACGACCUUGAUCCCUCAGCAUUAUUCUGAUGGCAGAAUGUGAAGUGGUGGUGGAUGAUUUUGUGAGGACAGGAAGAACUGGUCGGCGGAAUGCUCUUCCUGAUGUGUUUGCUGUUGGACAUGCGAAUGUGACAACUGCGGGACUUCCUGAAGGGCUGGAAAAUUUUUCCAUUGGUUCUUCAACUCAGCCAGCAUGCAAUGGUACUUCAAGUUCAGAGAACCAGCCACAAAUGGAGAAAUGAAAGUGGAUGUUGCUGUAGCAUACCUUUGAAUUAUUUGAUUCCUAUUUGACUUGUCAUUCUCAAAUGGCAUCAUGACCUGGUCUGGUUCAUGAGUAACAGUUUUCAUUGGCAUUUGGAAGUGGCAGUUUUUUUUUACCCUCAGUGGUUUGAUCUCUGAUAUUAAGGGGACAUUGCACUGUGAUGGUGGUACCUACAAGUUCUCAAAAGAAAGAGUGGACCAACUACCUUGUGACAAAUUUUAUUGUGGCUUGGGUGGUAUUAUUGCAGAUUCUGAUGAGAAGAGAUGACAGAUUGUGCUUCAAACUGAUUAUCUACCUGAAAGUUUGAGGAGUAGCCACUAAGAAAUGCCUAGUAUGUUGUGAUUUUUCUACUAGAUGAAUUGCAUUUUGUUAUUUAAAUCCCUUACUAAUUUAAGGACUUCGAUUCAAAUGUUAAAGUCACAUUAUUCUCUGUGAUUUUUUUCCCUUGUAUUGUACAAUAUAGCCAUUUCAUGUAGCAGAGAAUGUAGUGAUAAACCCAUAAUACUGUAAAAAUUUUAGAUUGUUUUUUUAAAAAACAGAAGCACUGACAGUUGAAAUUUGUAAUUUAUAAAUAUGCUCCGGACAUUAGUUUAGAUCUGUCUAGAAAGAAGAAUUAUUCAAAAGGCCAUGUCCUAAAGACUUAAAUCCUCUUUAGGACUAGUCAACUGCAUAAUGGUUUAUUCAAGGUCUAAUAUCACUAUGUGGGAGUAGCCCAAUGAAGAAAUCUUGUCUUUUUUGGCUGAGAUGUCAGUUAUUCUGCUGGAGAAUGUUUUAGAUUAAGACUCCAAUGUUACUAGGAUUAAAUCUGAAGUAUGGUAGGGUGUCAUGUAUAGUGUGAAUUGAAACAAGGCUGAAAUGUCUCUUUGAUGAGUGGGCUUACAAGAAGCUGUUAUGCAACGUAAUUUAUGUCAUACAACAAAGGUACCAUUCUCAGCUUAGAACAAAAAAAUUAAUGUUUUCUAAGAAAAAUUGAAUAAUGCAAAUACCUAAUUUAUUCUCAGCUUUUAUGAUUUGUGUGCAUGUGCCUUAAAAAUUAAUGAACAUUUGAUUAAAAGUUAGUGUCAAUUAUUGAU